This 207-nucleotide ribosomal RNA is filed under the name uncultured bacterium. RNAcentral describes it as "partial 16S ribosomal RNA". It matches the Rfam family "Bacterial small subunit ribosomal RNA", at positions 28 to 236 of the family's 1533-position model. The record is from RNAcentral.
GACGAACGCUGGCGGCGUGCUUAACACAUGCAAGUCGAGCGGGUAAGGCCCUUCGGGUACGACGAGCGGCGAACGGGUGAGUAACACGUGGGUGACCUGCCUCUAGCUCUGGGAUAAGCCUGGGAAACGUGGGUCUAAUACCGGAUAUGACUCCACGGCGCAUGUCGUGGGGUGGAAAGCCUUGUGUGGCUAGAGAUGGGCCCGCGG